Molecule: long non-coding RNA, 1438 nt
Filed under: Numida meleagris (helmeted guineafowl)
Lineage: Eukaryota; Metazoa; Chordata; Aves; Galliformes; Numididae
Description: lncRNA (ENSNMEG00000002307.1)
Source: RNAcentral
GGCUGAAAGGGGGCGGGGCUAAAAGGGACGGGGUUCUUCUCAUUGGUGGGAGGUAAAGGGGGGCGGGGCUUCAUGAAGGGCGGGGCGGGGCUUAGAGGUGCGACGGGGUUUCAUUGGUGGAGGGUUCAGGGGCGGAGCUGAAAGGGGCGGGGCUUUAGGGAACCGGAGUUCUCAUUGGUGGGUGGUAUGGGGGGGGGUGUGGCUUAAAGGGGGGCGGGGCAUAAAGGGUGACACAGAUGGCGACAGGAUGCCGCUGGUGGUGACAAGGUGACACUGGCGGUGACACGGAGGUGACACAGCGGUUGCCACCACCGCCACCGCCUCGUCCCCGUCCCCAGGUUCUGCGCUGGCCCUCGUGCCGCGGCCGCUUGCACGCCGAGCUGCGCCUCCCCCCCCGUGACAACCACGACGGUGACGUCACGCCCGGCUCACGUGACGGGGGCCCCGGGUCACGUGACGAGGGCCCCGGGUCACGUGACGCCGGGCCGGGGCUGUGCGUGACCUUUGACCCCUGGGGGGCGCGGGUGGCGGUGGCGCACGGCGGGGCCGUGGUGGCCGUGCACCGGGCGCCGUGGGGUGCGUCACCUUGUCACCUCCGCUGUCCCCUCCGGGGUCAUUGUCACCUCUGUUUCCCCUCGGUGUCAUUGUCCCCCCCCUCUGUCCCCUCGGUGUCAUUCAUUGUCCCCUCUGUGUCACCAUUGUCCCCUCUGUGUCCCCUCUGUGUCAUUGUCCCCCCUUCUCUGUCCUCUCUGUGUCCCCUCGGUGUCACCCGUUGUCCCCUCUGUGUCCCCUCCGGGGUCAUUGUCACCUCUGUGUCCCCUCGGUGUCAUUGUCCCCCCCCUGUGUCCCCUCGGUGUCAUUCAUUGUCCCCUCUGUGUCACCACUGUCCCCUCUGUGUCCCCUCGGUGUCAUUGUCCCCCCUUCUCUGUCCUCUCUGUGUCCCCUCUGUGUCACUCACUGUCCCCUCUCUGUCCCCUCGGGGUCACUGUCACCUGUGUCCCCUCUCUGUCCCCUUGGUGUCACUCAUUGUCCCCUCUCUGCCCCCUCUGUGCCAUCAUUGUCCCCUCUGUGUCCCCUCUGUGUCAUUGUCACCCCUUCUGUGUCCCCUCUGUGUCCCCAUUGUCCCCUCUGUGCCAUUGUCACCCCUAUGUCCCCCUGUGUCGCUCAUUGUCCCCUCUGUGUCCCCUCAUUGCCAUUGCCAUUGUCAUUGUCAUUGUCAUUGUCCCCUCCCUGUCAUUGUCCCCUCCGUGUCCCCUCCCUGUCAUUGUCAUUGUCCCCUUCCUGCCAUUGUCAUUGUCCCCUCCGUGUCCCCUCAUUGCCAUUCAUUGUCCCCUCCCUGCCAUUGUCCCUGUCAUUGUCAUUGUCCCCUUCCUGCCAUUGUCACUGUCCCCUCUGUGUCAUUGUCCCCUCCGUGUCCCCCCCAUCAUUGUCACUGUCC